GCCUUCGUGGCUCAGCUGGUUAGAGCGCCGGUCUCAUAUGAACUCCACUUCAAUCUCGAAGUCGCUAUGACCGCGUCAAUGCGGGCCAUCCGGAGAUCGCCAGUUCGAUCCUGGCCGAGGGCA
Non-coding RNA from Cronartium quercuum f. sp. fusiforme G11, 123 nucleotides. The record is from the annotation of a GenBank genome assembly. Lineage: Eukaryota; Fungi; Basidiomycota; Pucciniomycetes; Pucciniales; Coleosporiaceae.